AAUGAACGCUGGCGGCAUGCCUAACACAUGCAAGUCGAACGAAGGCUUCGGCCUUAGUGGCGCACGGGUGCGUAACGCGUGGGAAUCUGCCCUUGGGUUCGGAAUAACAGUUAGAAAUGACUGCUAUUACCGGAUGAUGUCGUAAGACCAAAGAUUUAUCGCCCAAGGAUGAGCCCGCGUAGGAUUAGCUAGUUGGUGGGGUAAAGGCCUACCAAGGCGACGAUCCUUAGCUGGUCUGAGAGGAGGAUCAGCCACACUGGGACUGAGACACGGCCCAGACUCCUACGGGAGGCAGCAGUGGGGAAUAUUGGACAAGGGGCGAAAGCCUGAUCCAGCAAUGCCGCGUGAGUGAUGAAGGCCUUAGGGUUGUAAAGCUCUUUUACCCGGGAUGAUAAUGACGGUACCGGGAGAAUAAGCUCCGGCUAACUUCGUG
RNAcentral lists this ribosomal RNA (433 nucleotides) under uncultured bacterium. Its description in RNAcentral is "partial 16S ribosomal RNA". It matches the Rfam family "Bacterial small subunit ribosomal RNA", at positions 29 to 507 of the family's 1533-position model. The record is from RNAcentral.